AGGGAAUCUCAGAAAUAUUAAAUGGACACUCAUUUGCAUUAUACUACAUCUGCUUUUUGUGUUAGUAUAUGUGCCAAGUUGCAUGCGUGGAAAAAUAUGUACCAGACAGAUUCAUCCUGCAAUUCUUUUUUUUGGUUUGUUUAGUUUAUUACAAGGGGGGAGUCGCUUGCCACAAUUUGAUGUUCGUAUGAAUUUAAGCACUUGACUGCCAUCUACUGCUUCCCCUUAGCACUUCAGGGAAAUGAUAAUGCACAUUCUCUAUGGAAACAAAAAUAUUGCCACCACCAUGAAAACAUUUGUUGAAGCAUCAACAAUAUAUUUCCCAUUUUCACAGAAAAUAUGCAAUGCCCUAUUUUAUUGGCUUUAUAAUGUCAAUAUCAUAUGUCCGAGAACAUUAAUAAAAUGUAAGACGAGAAACAAAACAGAAUAGUUAAUGUGCUAAAUGAAUACAAAAACCCCCCCAAAAAACAGCAUUGUAGG
Molecule: non-coding RNA, 480 nt
Organism: Pelobates cultripes (western spadefoot toad)
Lineage: Eukaryota; Metazoa; Chordata; Amphibia; Anura; Pelobatidae
Source: the annotation of a GenBank genome assembly